CAUGCAAGUCGAGCGAGAAGCUAACUUCGGUUAGUGGACAGCGGCGCACGGGUGAGUAACGCGUGGGAAUUUACCUUUCGGCGGGGGACAACAGUUGGAAACGACUGCUAAUACCGCAUACGCCCUACGGGGGAAAGAUUUAUCACCGAAAGAUAGGCCCGCGUUAGAUUAGGUAGUUGGUAGGGUCAAAGCCUACCAAGCCGACGAUCUAUAGCUGGUUUGAGAGAACGAUCAGCCACACUGGAACUGAGACACGGUCCAGACUCCUACGGGAGGCAGCAGUGUGGAAUCUUGCACAAUGGGCGAAAGCCUGAUGCAGCCAUGCCGCGUGAGUGAGAAGGCCUUCGGGUUGUAAAACUCUUUUAGAUGUGAAGAUGAUGACGGUAACAUCAGAAAAAGCACCGGCUAACUUCGUGCCAGCAGCCGCGGUAAUACGAAGGGUGCUAGCGUUGUUCGGAAUUACUGGGCGUAAAGAGCGUGUAGGCGGCUUAGCAAGUUAGAGGUGAAAUCCCAGGGCUCAACCCUGGAACUGCCUUUGAUACUGCCAGGCUUGAGAUCGUGAGGGGAUAGCGGAAUACCCAGUGUAGAGGUGAAAUUCGU
Molecule: ribosomal RNA, 600 nt
Filed under: uncultured Alphaproteobacteria bacterium
Lineage: Bacteria; Pseudomonadati; Pseudomonadota; Alphaproteobacteria
Description: bacterial SSU rRNA
Rfam family: Bacterial small subunit ribosomal RNA
Source: RNAcentral